This is a long non-coding RNA of Vespula pensylvanica (western yellowjacket), 689 nucleotides long. RefSeq lists it as uncharacterized. Lineage: Eukaryota; Metazoa; Arthropoda; Insecta; Hymenoptera; Vespidae. The record is from RefSeq and is a predicted model, not a curated record. The transcript has 2 exons.
CGACGAACGACGCAGCGAAUUCCAUGUAAGAAAACUCCAGAGAACUAACGAGUUGUCGGAAGUUACAGCGACGAGGAAUUGCAUCCAUCAAAAUCAUCAACCUAUCGUCAUAUUCUAUACAAACAAAGAGGUGUAUUUAGAUGAGACAUUCGAUAUUGAUGACGAUUACAUAUACACAACGUCGAUCGCACAAGAGCUUGUAGCCGAAGUAAAACCGCAAUCUGCAACUCCCGUUCAAUCGCAAACGGAGCUGACAAUGCAUCAAGCUCCUUCUGAUCUAAACAAAGAUCCAACAAUGCAUUUAUCACGAAUUGUACUAUUCAUUUUUCAAUGGCCGACAUGAAGAAUAGCUUGAUUUCGCGAAUCAAUUUGAGUUAUCUGUUCACGACAAUCACUCUCUCAACGACUAUAGACGGUUGAAUUAUUUAACCUUAGCUGCAAGGUGAGUCUGUGUCAACUAUCGCAUUUUUAUCAAACAAUCAAGUUUAAUAGAGGAACGCUACUUAAACGCGAUAUAUGAAUUACAAAAAGUGCAAAGGGCAUCAUACAUAAAAACAGCUCAGUUUGUAAAUGCCGAAUCGCAUAUCUUAUUCUAAAUCGUUCAAUGUAAUGAGUCGACCAUUGCGCGAUACGAUACUUAUUUAUAUCUUAGUUUGUAAUGUAUUGACAAAUACACAGAUAUUAAGUCA